Molecule: ribosomal RNA, 204 nt
Filed under: uncultured bacterium
Lineage: Bacteria
Description: partial 16S ribosomal RNA
Rfam family: Bacterial small subunit ribosomal RNA
Source: RNAcentral
ACUGCAGGCUGCAACUCGCCUGCACGAAGUCGGAAUUGCUAGUAAUCGUAGGUCAGCAUACUACGGUGAAUACGUUCCCGGGCCUUGUACACACCGCCCGUCAAACCAUGAGAGUUGGCAACACCCGAAGUCGGUAGUCUAACCGCAAGGAGGACGCCGCCGAAGGUGGGGUCGAUGAUUAGGGUUAAGUCGUAACAAGGUAUC